RNAcentral lists this ribosomal RNA (301 nucleotides) under uncultured bacterium. RNAcentral's name for it is "partial 16S ribosomal RNA". It matches the Rfam family "Bacterial small subunit ribosomal RNA", at positions 509 to 807 of the family's 1533-position model. The record is from RNAcentral.
CAGUCGCCGCGGGAAUACGAAGGGGGCUAGCGUUGUUCGGAUUUACUGGGCGUAAAGGGCGCGUAGGCGGACUGAUAAGUCAGGGGUGAAAUCCCAAGGCUCAACCUUGGAACUGCCUUUGAUACUGUUUGUCUUGAGUUCGAGAGAGGUAAGUGGAACUGCGAGUGUAGAGGUGAAAUUCGUAGAUAUUCGCAAGGACACCAGUGGCGAAGGCGGCUUACUGGCUCGAAACUGACGCUGAGGCGCGAAAGCGUGGGGAGCAAACAGGAUUAGAUACCCCUGUAGUCCCUGUCUCUUAUAC